This 73-nucleotide transfer RNA is filed under the name Nitrospirota bacterium. Its description in RNAcentral is "Nitrospirae bacterium (groundwater metagenome) tRNA-Asn". It matches the Rfam family "tRNA". From Rfam's summary of the family: Transfer RNA (tRNA) molecules are approximately 80 nucleotides in length. Their secondary structure includes four short double-helical elements and three loops (D, anti-codon, and T loops). Lineage: Bacteria; Pseudomonadati; Nitrospirota. The record is from RNAcentral.
UCCCCGGUAGCUCAGCUGGCAGAGCAGACGGCUGUUAACCGUCGUGUCGCUGGUUCGAAUCCGGCCCGGGGAG